This 289-nucleotide ribosomal RNA is filed under the name uncultured bacterium. RNAcentral's name for it is "partial 16S ribosomal RNA". It matches the Rfam family "Bacterial small subunit ribosomal RNA", at positions 773 to 1060 of the family's 1533-position model. The record is from RNAcentral.
GUGGAUUAGAUACCCGGGUAGUCCACGCCCUAAACGAUGUCUACUAGUUGUCGGUCCUUAAUUGGAUUGGUAACGCAGCUAACGCGUGAAGUAGACCGCCUGGGGAGUACGGUCGCAAGAUUAAAACUCAAAGGAAUUGACGGGGACCCGCACAAGCGGUGGAUGAUGUGGAUUAAUUCGAUGCAACGCGAAAAACCUUACCUACCCUUGACAUGCCAGGAACCCUGCUGAGAGGUGGGGGUGCUCGAAAGAGAGCCUGGACACAGGUGCUGCACGGCCGUCGACAGCU